AUGAGCACAAACAGAAUUCUCAUCCCUACGUGGCUGUCGCAGGAAGGACGCAGGGCCUACUGAUACGUGCCACUUCUGCAAGAUCGUCCUAUAAUUUGCUGAGCACUGAGCUAAUCACUAGUAUGAUGGGAGAGAACAGACUUUUCCCACUCUUAAGGAACUAAUGAAGGAUACAUGCACAAGACGAUGUGUGUCGACAUAACAUGACAAGGUGAGGAAAUAUCACUGUAUAGCGUUCUUUGAAAAGCUUUGAACUUUGUCACUUGAAUCUUAGGGAAAAGAGAGGAGGAACAGGUACAGACCAUGACUGCAAUGUUUU
Molecule: long non-coding RNA, 319 nt
Filed under: Vulpes vulpes (red fox)
Lineage: Eukaryota; Metazoa; Chordata; Mammalia; Carnivora; Canidae
Description: lncRNA (ENSVVUG00000009632.1)
Source: RNAcentral